This is a long non-coding RNA of Argentina anserina (silverweed cinquefoil), 915 nucleotides long. RefSeq lists it as uncharacterized. The transcript has 2 exons. The record is from RefSeq and is a predicted model, not a curated record. NCBI's taxonomy places the organism in Eukaryota, Viridiplantae, Streptophyta, Magnoliopsida, Rosales, Rosaceae.
UAUGAUAUUAGGAUUGCUCAUUCUAUCUUGCAUUUCCAGCCUUAGCUUAAAGUCCACUUUAGGACCCUAUAAAUCCAUCUAGAACAAGUUUACGGGGCGAAAGAAUUGGCUAGUUUUAGAUUAUGUUGUGUAAGUUAUCCGUGAGCUUCCGCCACAUGUAAUUAUCGUCGGCACCCCCUUAUGAAUAUUUCGCAAACACGGACUCGGUGAAGUAGAGAAGAAAAGGUGAAAAACCCAGAAGACCCGAUUUCAUUUGCACCGUACGGCCGGGUCACUCCGACUCUCUCUGGUUUUUACAGCUUUCCUAUAGGCUCUCACCGGUUUUCGUUGUCCUCUGUAUAUGCCCCGGGCUAUCCAAAGAUCGUAAACCCAAAAGUGAUUCCCAAAUAUGGAGUCUACGGCAAAUAAUUUCAAUGAAGUUAAAGAGACGGCAACAAAGAAUUAUGCUACCUUUUUCCUGGUGUCUGUGCUUCUAGCUAGCGCAGUCUUGUAUGGAGGUUGUGCCAUGCUCCGCCAUGUCCAGAGUGACUAUGGUCCUGUGAUUCUAACAAGAAAGGGGGCUUUCUUCGUGUUUGUUGUAGCAGAGGGAAUGACCCUGAUUCUGUCGAUCUUUUCUUCCUUGCUUGCUUUUCUGUGCUGGUGGAACCUAAAGAGGAAUGGAUCUUUGAGAAAGUCACAGAAGAUGGCUAUGUUGUAUUACUCGGUUACCAUGUCGACCCUGAUUGGAAUGUUUCUCGUCCACGUCUCGAGCACCUAUGUAUUACACGGUAUCAAACUUCUUGCAGUGGUUGAAAUGGUAGCCUUUUGGUUUUUCUGUAGCUUUGCUAUCAACGUUGACAUGAGCUCAAACAGAGAUUAAAAGUUUGAUGUACUGCAGAAAUUUACAGAAAUAUAUGAAGCACCUAACAGUUGUGA